Molecule: non-coding RNA, 2332 nt
Organism: Ictidomys tridecemlineatus (thirteen-lined ground squirrel)
Lineage: Eukaryota; Metazoa; Chordata; Mammalia; Rodentia; Sciuridae
Source: RefSeq, a predicted model, not a curated record
AAAAUAUCAUACGUUGAAAUGCAUUUUAACACUCCAAACCUGUUGAAUGCCAUGCUUAGUAGCACAGCACGCUGCGGAAUAUGGGUGAGUUCCCCUGGCGAUCGCAUGGGUGACCGAGAGCUGUGGCUCGCCACUGCUGCCCAGCAUCAGAAAUGUUAUACCACAUGCCACCAGCCCAGGGGAAGACCCAAACUCAAACUCUGAAGUGUUGUGUCUAUUGAACACCAUUGUCAAAGUCAAAAAAGUAGAAGUCGAACCAUCUUAAGUUGGGGACCAUCUGUAUUUACCCAUUUGCUCAACACUCUGAGCAUAUAUGUCUUAUCUCUGCUGUCCGCAGCUGUUCUGCAUGGUGGUAUUUGGGUGCAAACACCCAUCCCCAGGCUGCCGCUCCACUGGGUCACCCUCCCUACCCUGCUGGGGUCUCCGACACCCUGGCUGGGUUGCCCAGUGCAUGGAUGGCCUGCGCUCCCUGCUUAUCCAUGCUCUGCUGCCAUCAAACGGAGGCCUCUUCCCCCUCCUGGGCCGAUUCCCUCCAGUCAUGCUGUUUGAGCACUGCAUCGGGGCAGGCCACCCACCCCUCCCCCAUAGGUCCCCAGCUUGCUCUGCCCCACUAACCACGGAUGACUUUAGCACUAAACUGUUCAAGAAGGGAACAAGGCUGGGAAGAGCAAUUUUCUUGUGGAUUUUUUUUUUUCUGUUAUGUUAGUACUACAAAAUGACUUGGAAAUAUUAUAAAGAAGUAUAAAGGGGCAAGGAAUCAAAACUCUCUAUUAAUUCUUCUACCAUUAUUGGGGCUGGCAUGGUAGCUCAGUGGUAGAGCGCUCGCCUGGCACACGUGAGGCCCUGGGUUUGGUCCUUGGCACCACAUAAAAAUAAAUAAAUAAAAUAAAGUACUGUGGCCAUCUGCAACUGAAAAAAAAAAAAAAAAAGAAGGAAACCAUUAUCCUUUUCCCUCCAAAAGUUUCAAGCAAGCAGACAAAACAAAUAAAGAAACAAAGAACUCGUGUCUUUUGAAAAAGGAAUACAGGCCCGUGGUUGAAAAAUCAAGAAGCAAGGCUCCCUCCCACCUGGGCCCCUCUGCACCUGCCACAACUGGUAUCUGUGUCUCGUGGACCCUUCCAGCUAUUUUUUUGUGCAUAUGCAGCCUGUGAGGGUUCCGUUUCUCAACCCAGUUGGACCUUUACCUUGCUGAUAUGUUUACCUAUGAGUCUUUUCACUUGCACGUACUGAACAAAAUAUAUACUUUAAAAAAAUGUUCCUUAUACUUGGGUUCUUCCAAAGUAUCAUUGUAAGUGGCUGCAUGAUUUUCCAUCACUGAAUUCGUGUCUCCUUUGGAUGAUCUCCUGUUGUUGGAGGACUGCCAUGUUGAUCAGCUCUGGCCUUCCUGUGCCAGGGAAGUCACAAAGCCAGCUUGGCUUGGAGAAGCAGUUCAGCCAUCUUCCAUGGCUGGUAAUAGACUAUUGAGUUGAAACAACAGAGAUUUGUUUUUCGCACUAAGAGGCGUUUGGAAGGUGGGUGGUUAAAUCCAAGCUUUGAGCAAGACUCCACAAUGCAAAAUUCUGAAGUGAAGUCAUCAAAGGGAUGGGGUCCUGCCGCCCUCACCAUGAGGUCGGGGUGAGAUGAGCCAGGAGGAAAAUGAAAAAGCCAGAGCCUGUGUGGCCGCCAAGCAGAGGGACCGAGGAGGCCUGUGCUGGGGACAGUCUCAAGGAUGCUGCAUGUGUCCUGCUGGGCUGACACGGGCCACACAGGAGAGAGGCUGUGUGGGGUCCAGGAGCCGCCGGGAGGAUCCCCUGGGUGGCCAUCUCCCAAGAACCCGCAGAAGCACUCCACGUCAGCUCCCAUCUUCUGGGCCCAGAGCACCAGUGCCCAUGAAUGGCAGUCCCCACGCAAGAACGACCCUGCCCUCCACUUUGACAUUGGCCAUCCCCACGUCCUGCACCCAGCAGGCUGGUAGGGAAAAGAGUUGGGUGCAAGAAUGGAAAAAGGAGAAGCAGGAGGCAGAAGAGAGGAGAAGGGAGCCGAAGGUCCUUCCUACUUCAGGCCUCGGGCCUGACGCAGGGCUCGGGGUGAUGGAAAAAUCUGUUCAGGGUUUUUAUUUGUCUUUGUUUUUAUUUUUAUUUUUUUCUUUUGGAAGUAGCUUCAGACUGUCUGUUACCUAGGGUGUGGACAAAGCCAUGGACCAGGCAGAGCUGUCAUCUGGAAGUAGGGGGAAGAGCAUGCCCUGAGUCACUCCCAGGGACCAUGGGAACAACAGGAAAGUUCGUUGUUCUCACCUCUCAUGAGUGAUGUGCUCAUCAUACCACUUUCAAAUAAAGUAAAUGUGACUUCGCAA